UGGUAGGUUGCCAUGGUUGCUUCUGAUGAUCGACAGUCUAUAAAGAGUUGGUCUUUAUGGGAGAUAGGUCGUUUUCUACGUGAGCAACAAACAACGGCUGGAAGCGGGUAUCAAGCAGGUGUUGGUUGUUAAUUGGGAUGUCCAUCACGAAAAUGGGACUCAAAAAGAUGGUUUUAGAAAGUCUCCUGUGUUCUGUUCAUGGGUAAAGGAGAUGACUUUGAUUUUGUAAAUAUGGGGAUUUAUGGAAUGCUUAUAUUUAGAGUUCAAGCCAUUUAAAGUUUGCAAAUUGAGGUAGUAGUUCAUAUCAACUACAGGGGCAAAUCUGUGUCAUUUAUGUAGGCAUGGCUGGAAGCUGGAUAUGGGUUGUGUGUUUUGUCCUAAGCAGACAGGAUGAAUAGUAACCAGUUUGUAUUGGACAUUGAUCUGUCAACACAUUUUUUCCACUAUUCAGUCACAAAAAUACAAGAAAUUAUCAGCAAACUUGAGUGGAUUUUGGGACACCGUAGAUGACUCGCCUGAUGGUGAUUCAAUAAUGCAGAAAUCCUAUGCAUAAAAUUGUAUAUUUGCAUCUGAUCAGGAGAUACUACAAGCAUUACAGCAAAGUGCAAUUGGCCAGAACUGAAAUUUCAAGCAAACAAUGCAUGCCUUUCUUGAGGUUUAAGAAGAAUGAGGUCAUGGCACUUGGCGUGCAAGCGUUGGAUCCAAGACUACCAUUUGGCGAGAUCGAAGUUCUUCAGGAGAAUUUAGAGUUGAUACAGAGAAAGACAGAUAGGCCUUGAUCAUGUGGAAAUAUUGUCUGCUGCUGACCCGGAUGCUGUUCUCAAAGCUGGUCGGCAUGCUUCUUUGUUAAAGCAAGCUCCACCAUCACCAGGAUCUCCUACCUCCAUUUUCUUGACUGAGGAUGGUAUGUCGUAUAUGUUGCUAUUUUAUACUGGCAAAUUGGUGCUGUGAGUAACAGGUCCAUUGGGUACUUGUUUAUUUUGGAAAAGCAAAUAGGUUCAUCUUUAUCCAGGUGAAUUUUAGUGUACGUCGUAACAGUCGUUAUGAAGUUUGGUUGACCAACAAGUAUUUACUUGUCUAGUUUUAAACAAUUUAUGAGAUUUAUGGACUGAAAUUAGACUAUUGAAGACUUCUCGCCCAUUUGAUCUAUAUAGUUUGGGGUUAAUUA
Erigeron canadensis is the source of this 1168-nucleotide long non-coding RNA. RefSeq lists it as uncharacterized. NCBI's taxonomy places the organism in Eukaryota, Viridiplantae, Streptophyta, Magnoliopsida, Asterales, Asteraceae. The record is from RefSeq and is a predicted model, not a curated record. The transcript has 4 exons.